GAUGAACGCUGACAGAAUGCUUAACACAUGCAAGUCAACUUGAACUUCGGUUUGGGUGGCGGACGGGUGAGUAACGCGUAAAGAACUUGCCUCACAGUUAGGGACAACAUUUGGAAACGAAUGCUAAUACCUGAUAUUAUGAUUUUAGGGCAUCCUAGAAUUAUGAAAGCUAUAUGCGCUGUGAGAGAGCUUUGCGUCCCAUUAGCUAGUUGGAGAGGUAACGGCUCACCAAGGCGAUGAUGGGUAGCCGGCCUGAGAGGGUGAACGGCCACAAGGGGACUGAGACACGGCCCUUACUCCUACGGGAGGCAGCAGUGGGGAAUAUUGGACAAUGGACCAAGAGUCUGAUCCAGCAACUCUGUGUGCACGAUGAAGUUUUUCGGAAUGUAAAGUGAUUUCAGUUGGGAAGAAAAAAAUGACGGUACCAACAGAAGAAGUGACGGCUAAAUACGUG
This 454-nucleotide ribosomal RNA is filed under the name uncultured bacterium. RNAcentral's name for it is "partial 16S ribosomal RNA". It matches the Rfam family "Bacterial small subunit ribosomal RNA", at positions 28 to 507 of the family's 1533-position model. The record is from RNAcentral.